This 206-nucleotide ribosomal RNA is filed under the name uncultured Sedimentibacter sp. Its description in RNAcentral is "partial 16S ribosomal RNA". It matches the Rfam family "Bacterial small subunit ribosomal RNA", at positions 568 to 774 of the family's 1533-position model. Lineage: Bacteria; Bacillati; Bacillota; Tissierellia. The record is from RNAcentral.
UGAGUAGGCGGUUGCAUAUGUCAGAUGUAAAAGGCACAGGCUUAACUUGUGUUAGCAUUUGAAACUGUGUGACUUGAGUGCAGGAGAGGUAAGUGGAAUUCCUAGUGUAGCGGUGAAAUGCGUAGAUAUUAGGAGGAACACCAGUGGCGAAGGCGACUUACUGGACUGUAACUGACGCUGAGUCACGAAAGCGUGGGUAGCAAACA